RNAcentral lists this ribosomal RNA (618 nucleotides) under uncultured bacterium. RNAcentral's name for it is "bacterial SSU rRNA". It matches the Rfam family "Bacterial small subunit ribosomal RNA", at positions 169 to 803 of the family's 1533-position model. The record is from RNAcentral.
CCGCAUAAGCCCACGACCCGGCAUCGGGUAGAGGGAAAAGGAGCAAUCCGCUUUGAGAUGGCCUCGCGUCCGAUUAGCUAGUUGGUGAGGUAACGGCCCACCAAGGCGACGAUCGGUAGCCGGACUGAGAGGUUGAACGGCCACAUUGGGACUGAGACACGGCCCAGACUCCUACGGGAGGCAGCAGUGGGGAAUAUUGCACAAUGGGGGAAACCCUGAUGCAGCGACGCCGCGUGGAGGAAGAAGGUCUUCGGAUUGUAAACUCCUGUUGUUGAGGAAGAUAAUGACGGUACUCAACAAGGAAGUGACGGCUAACUACGUGCCAGCAGCCGCGGUAAAACGUAGGUCACAAGCGUUGUCCGGAAUUACUGGGUGUAAAGGGAGCGCAGGCGGGAAGACAAGUUGGAAGUGAAAUCCAUGGGCUCAACCCAUGAACUGCUUUCAAAACUGUUUUUCUUGAGUAGUGCAGAGGUAGGCGGAAUUCCCGGUGUAGCGGUGGAAUGCGUAGAUAUCGGGAGGAACACCAGUGGCGGAGGCGGCCUACUGGGCACCAAUUGACGCUGAGGCUCGAAAGUGUGGGUAGCAAACAGGAUUAGAUACCCUGGUAGUCCACACUGU